UUUAGGACCGGGCGGGGAGUGUGCUUCCGACAAACUUGAGCGCAACUAGCUCGUUUAGAAAGUAAAAACUCACAUGUUCCGUCCGCGGUUGCUUCUCGAUCCCAAUCAUGCGGUGAAUCCGAAAUUAUGACAUUGGACGAUUAAAGGAAAAGAAAUCCGCACCGUCCAAAGAAUAUAUUCAACCGACUGUGAAGAAGUCUCUGGUUGCUAGCAAGUUAGCUAGCUACGCGAAGACUGUUGUUUGAGGCAUGGAUUUGGAGCGACAGAAGCGGAAGGAGGACAUUCAGAAAGCCCUGGGGUUCAUACAGUCAUCUUUGCCUUUCCCAGAUCCAGAAACUUAUGAGCUGUUUCUCACCCAGUUGGUGUGUAACCUGCUGGAUGAGGGGAACGUGGUGUUUCGGGACGGGGACUUCAGGCAGGGGGCGGUGCAUUACAGCGAGGGGGUGAGCGUGGCACGCUACGCGCAGACUGAGGCGCUGGUCAUACCGCCGGUCCUGCUGGAGAGCCUGUACGUCAACAGGGCCGCAGCGCACUAUAACAUCGGGGAGUAUGAGCGUGGCGUGCAGGACUGCGACAGCGCGCUGGCCGUGUGCGAGGGCAGCCGUAAGGCGCUGUACAGGAAGGCCCUGUGUCUGCGGGAGCUGGGCCGGCUGAAGGAGGCCUACGAGUGCAGCACGGGCUGCCUGCUCAUCACCCCUCACGACCGACAAGUGAGUGAUCUAGCCCAGGAUCUGGCCAAUAAACUGGGGCUUAAGAUCCGCAAAGCCUACGUCAGCCCGCAGACCGAGUCUGCCACGGCCGUCGGAGAAAGCAACGGGGACACGGCGCCCCCUACAGCUGAGAUGACUGCUAAUGGGCUGGAAUCCUUAAAUGGCAUUUCAACAGCAGACUCGAGCAGUGCCCAGUGCAUCCCCGCCCCUCUGGCCACUCCCAUUCCCGUCAGCGACGAGCAGUCGCCCCCUGCCCUGGCCCCCCAGGACCUCCCGGAAAGCCCGAGCCAGGGCCUGCCCCGGGUGCCGUACUCCGUGCCCGUGUCCGAGCACCUGGCGGAGUGCGAGGUCAUGAGCGGCCAGAUGGACGGCCUGCUGGACUGCAUCCCCAAGGGGGCGGAGGUCAGCGUGCCUUCGGUGCAGGGUGCCAUCCCCACCAACCUGCCCAACACGGCGGUGGGCCUGCGCUCGCCCUACGUGUCCAGCCUGCCCUCCUCCCCGUCGCCGCUGCCGUCGGCCCUGUUCUCCAGCUCCGUGGUGGGCCAGCUCUCCUCGCCGGAGUCCUUCAGCGGCCGGGCCGCGGCCGACGCCUCCGCGCAGGCGCUGGACGUCGACCCGUACUGCCCCGGGGCGGGCACGGCGUGCCUGGGCGGCGUCGGCGGCCUGGAGUCCCUGUCCGAGUUCACCAUGCCGGGAGGAAGGAUUUCUCACAACUUCAUCCCUGGCCUUCGCAAUCACAACUCCUCCCACACUAGCAGCCCCGUGGGCACCAACCUCUCCCUGCUCUCUCGAAACCCCCUGGCGGCCACUCACGAGUUCCGGCAGGCGUGCCACGCCUGCUACAGCCGCGUAGGUCCGCGGGUCAUGGACUAUCAGUACCAGCCGGACGCUGCGCACCGCUGCAAGCGGGACGUGUUGCUGUGUCGGCUCAAAGGGCAGGAGGACACCUCCUGGAAGAGGAUCCGGCCCCGGCCCGCCCGCAACAACUUCCUGGGAGCUUUCGUGCUCUGCAAGGAGGUGCAGGAGAGGCAGGAGUGCAAGUACGGGGAGAACUGUACCUUCGCGUACUGCCAGGAGGAGAUCGACGUGUGGACUCAGGAGAGGAAGGGGGCGCUGAGCCGGGAGCUGCUGUUCGACCCGCUGGGCAGCACCGAGAGACGGGCACUCAGUGUCACACGCCUGCUGCAGCUACACAUGGGCAUGUUCAUGUUCCUCUGUGAGGAGUGUUUUGACAGUAAGCCUCGCAUCAUCAGUAAGCGCAGCAAGGAGAACCUGGCCGUCUGCUCCAACCUCACCGCCCGCCAUCCCUUCGACGACAACAAGUGCCUGGUGCACGUGGUGAGGUCGGCCAACGUGCGCUACAGUAAGGUGCGGCCGCUGCACCCGCUGUGCCAGUUUGACGUGUGCCGGCACGAGGUGCGGUACGGCUGCCAGCGCGAGGACAGCUGCUCCUUCGCCCACUCCGUCAUCGAGCUCAAGUGCUGGGUGCUGCAGCAGGACACGGGUAUCACCCAUGAGGAGAUGGUUCAGGAGUCUAAGAGACACUGGCACAGGCUGGAGCAGAACGCACAGAGGCAGAAGGGCCACCAGCCCAUUCACAUGCCGCACCCUCACUCUGGGGGCGGUGGCGAUGUGAUGGGUGGCGGAGGGGGAGGUGGAGGAGGAGGAGGAGGAGGAGGUGGGGGAGGAAGAGCCAAGGGGCUCAACCUGAAGAUGAAGUUUGUGUGUGGGCAGUGCUGGAGGGACGGCCAGGUCAACGAGCCGGACAAAGCGCUGAAGUACUGCACCGCCAAGGCCCGGCACAGCUGGACGAAGGAGCGGCGGGUGCUGCUGGUGAAGUCGUUUGAGAAGAAGAAGUGGGUGGUGGUCCGACCGCUGCCCUUCUCCCGCACGUACCCUCAGCAGUACGACAUGUGUGUUCAUGUGAUGAAACAGAAGAAGUGUCACUAUAUUGGGAACUGCUCGUUCGCCCACAGCCUGGAGGAGAGGGACGUGUGGACGUACAUGAAGAACAACAGCUUGCGAGACAUGCAGCAAAUGUAUGACAUGUGGCUGGCGUUGACCAAUCAGAACCGACGGCCAGAUGGCACCUUGCUAACGCCGCCUCCAGAGGAGAAACCAAUCGCCAUGCCGACCGACUAUGCUGAGCCAAUGGUGAGUGGCUGGCCAACGUUGUCAUGGUACCAGGGCCAAAUGCCAUGGUGACGCACAUUGUCCUGACCCGUGAGAUCGGAGCCCGGCGUGGCGGUCGCGCGCCGGCUUUCCGGUACGUAGUGCAGUGGCCCCCUCCCCACCCGGGGCCUGGAUAUCCAUGAACCACGCUGCCCUGAGUCAUCUGUUCCUUCAGGAGCGGGGCCGUCUGUGGUCUCUGGCACUCCGUGUCAUUUACUCAUUAACUCUGUGGGUGACUGAUGCUGUAAUGCCAGCCGUGGGCCCAAUACUCGGCCUGUUAGAGCCCCCCUCCUCAGGCUCUGACGUUUGCAUUUAGGCAUUUUGCAGAUGCUCUUAUCCAGAGCCACUUACGAACGAGUACACGUGGCAGACUGAGACAACGGAUUGCGUGAUGGACGUAUCUGAGCCAACCGCAGUGCUGGGCAGCGGCUGUCUGGAGGGGGUGAGCAGUGACUACGCCCACAGUGAGGAUGAGCUGGUGGAGUGGCAGGAGAGGAGGGACUUCCUGCGGAGGAAAUUGGCUGAGGCCCGUGAAGACGCGCUUGUUGCUCCCCUUCCCACCUCCCCCCCAUCCCCCCCAACCCCCCGAACGACUGCAACUUUGGGAAGUACAGCUUCCUCCCACUGGACCGCGGCGUCACCCGACGGGCACUCGAACACAGAUCGAUGGACACUGCGUUUGGUCACGUACGCACACAGGCACACUGGUAACUGAGGCCACACAGGAGGGCGGCGUGGGGACAGGGUGUGCGGCGCCGCACUUCUGCAUUCAGAGCAGUUCAUUUUCACUAGAGCCGAUUUCUCAUUGUGCUUACCUCAGCCCUCCCCUCAGCGCAGGUCACUCAAAAGUAGACCAAAUAUUUACCUGGAGAAAUUCUCAGCCGUCAAUCGGCCCUCCAAAUAUGGGCGCAGUAAGCAAAGCCACUCCCCUCCUUUCCCAGCAGGUGCUCCCAUUUUUAUUUUAUUUUUCUCCCUUUUUUAGAAAUACCAAAAUAUGCAUCACUCCUUCACUUGCGCACUUUCUGCCUGCGAGCACAGCCCAGCGCAGGCAGGCCGCUGUGCUCUGUUCGUCCAGAGGGAGUCGCUGUUGCACAAUCAUGUGGGGAAUAACCUGCUCCCUCCAUCCCUCCCUCCCUCCCUCUGUGAUGCUACAGCCAGCCGUGUGCUCUGGGUUUCGCACAGUCAGGAUAAGACACUGAAACCAUGACUGUGCGGAGCGCUCGUACUUCAGUCCAGUACGCCAUCAGAAGUUCCUCGGUUCUAGUGCUUGUCCAGUCAUGUGACUCGUACCUGCUUUAUGUAUGUGUGGCUGCACUAGGAAUUUGGAAGGAACAAAUCAUCAUGGCUGUAGCAAAGUAUUUGCUGGUGAACUGAAUGUCCUGUGACACUUAAAAGCCUCCAGGAAUAUUUAUAGAAUAUUUGGACAGUUCGCUGUUUUUCCAGUGUCACCUGUGUCCAACACAUGCACACACAAAACUAGUUGAAACUUAAGAAUGUGUAAAGUGUUGAGGGGGAGGUACACAAACACAUGAGUUAAGUGGCACGUGUGUUCAUUCAUGCCCAAACCUGUCCUGGCCUCAAUCCUCCUUUCUCAUGUUCAGCUCUCCUGCAGUUUUGUUGUGAUGUCUGAAUUGAUGUCGUGCAUCUUAGCAAGGUGACCCAAUGGGCAGCUUUGGCAGGCUGGUUCCCUUCAGUCUUUUUCACAACGCCAGUUGAAAAUGAACGGAGAGUGAGAAUCUCCGGUGCGUGCGUGUUUCACCGUUUAUCUGUUGCUUGAUAACUGUCUGAGUUUGAACGAGUGAAGAUGUGGAAGGAGGUAGAGUUGAACGUCGUGACCCUGCCUUCUCUUUGGGAAGUGAGUGCAUUUGAGCGCGGGAGGAGGAUGGGAGCAGAAGUUGUGUUUAGAUGACCGUUGGUUUAGCCUGGGGCCAGUCAACACAGGGGGGGAAACGCCCCCCCCCAGAAUUCCCUUUAAGCCCUUUAAUGAAUGAGCAGUACAGGGAAGGUCAAUGGAAGGGAUGAACAAAUUAAUGUUCGCUCUUUAUCAUGUGCCUAUAAAUAUACUGGUACACAUAAAAUAUAUAGCCCGGAUGUGUCUUGUCCAUCUUGGCAAGACCCUCUUAUAUUCCCCCACAGUGAACUUUAUAUAUACGAGUAUACAAGAUGGACACACAUAUAUACAUGCAUAUUUACAAAAUGUGUAUACUAAGAAUAAUUGAUAACUUAGCCUUUGAACUAAAUUGAAAUAUAAUCGAAUAUUGUAUUGAUUGCAUAGUAUCUCUUGUUAUUGAGCUAUGGUAUAUGACCUAUGGAUAAUUUAGAUGGCUAGCGGUUAUUAUUAUUAAUUUUCUUUGCUUCUGUGGGUGUCAUUCCAGAGAUGGUGCUAGUGGUGGAGAGCAGACUGCUUGCGCAGGUUGGGUAAAAGCACAUGACCGCUCCCGGAUGAAUGGUGAAAGGACAGAACUGAGCCGCUGAUGACUCUGUCACUGUGUCCUGCCGCAACGAGAGGCAGUCGGGUUAAUGGAGCCUCGUGAUCUGAAAAAAAUUAAAAUAAUAGUGCUCCAGUCUAGUGGUCCGUGUUUCAUAAGCUGGGGCUCUGCGCUAACAUUGUUUUCUGAAGGAGCACAAAUGCUCAUAAGAUGGAAAAAAUGCGCACUAAUGCAUCCAAAUUUGUAUAUGUGCUCCUAAAUUAUUGUUCCAGUAGCCACAUCAAUUUUCAGCAAAUGUGCGCACUGUCGAGCCCCGAGAAGCCAGUCUCUCAGCCACUGGGCGUUUACCCUGGCUAUGGUCAGCUUGGAGCGGUUUCAGAAUAUGCAGAAUAUGAACAGAUAUUGGUUUCAUUAUCUGCUGAUGAGGAAGGAUUAAUCUGGUUACUGAUGCACCGGGGAACCUGAGUGUACUGUUCCACUGAAAAGUGGGGAGAAAUUGUGUUUGAAGAAUUAAGUAUCAAUAAAUACAUUAUGUAGGUCUAUUAACACCUGCCUAGUUGUAAUCAUGUAACCGAACUCAUAAGAGCAGGAUGGCACCACCUGGAGUGACUCCUGUAAUUGCUUUAUUGGGGGAUCUUAUUGCUGUUAUUAUUAUUAUAAUUAUGAUGACUAUAUUAACAUUACAAUUUUUGUUCUCCUAUAUGCUAUCAAUAUGUAUAAGAUAAUUGCCAUGUAUAACUAAAUGUAACCAUGUAUGAAUACAAUAGUAAAUAGAUGUCUAUGUAUGCGUAUGAAAUGUAAGAGCGGGGCGGCGCAAGCGAUGAUUUUGGGUGAAUGUCUUUUCUAUACGAGCUGUCUAUCUGUACGCUCUUGUGCAGUCACGGACCUGUCGGAUAUAAGCCAGUGGCCCUUCCCGGCUAAUUUCAUAACUGCCUGAGAGGAGGCUGGUCCUGGAAAGCCAGAUCAGUGGUUGAAAUUGAACGAACUUGUCUUAAAACAGCGAAGAGUGUGGCUGCACAAUAAAUCAUUUACCUAGUGUCUAGUGCAGCACUAGUAAGAGAAGAGCUGUUUACAGUGUUGAUAGAAUCAUUUCUGUUGGAAAUUGGAAAAUGUUUCCUUUGUGUAGAUUUUGCAAAUGGCAUAUCCGCUAUGAUGUGACCGCUCAAAGCAUACAUAGAUAUCUAUGUACAACAGCAUAAUAAUACCUAAUACAACAUGCAUAUAAAUAUAUAACUAAAAUCAUAAUCCUUUCUCAAUAUAUGAUUAUAUAUACCUUAGACACAUAUAAAUGCAUAGAUAAGAGGUGAUGUGUUGUUGGUGAUUUCUGACCAUUUUUUGUGGGUGUAUUUUCAGUCCUUACUUUGUUGAUGUAACACCAAUUUUAUUGCCCACCUAAUGGUUAUCAGUUAUUUCAAGCGAAUGGCUUGUGUGCUAAUGGGUGUGUGUUGCAUUGUCUCUUAUUUCUUGUAACAGGACACCAUAGGCCACUCACUGGGCAUGCUCAGAUGGACAAAACAAGCAGUGUUAAAAUAGCUGGGUCAGCGGGCAGUGUUAAAUUAGACACCACGUCUCAAAACAGUGAUUGUAAAAGACCAGUCCCCCUGAGCAAAGGUGGAAAUCCACUUUCAGGAAGUAAAAGUCAUCCCCAGUAUUUUGUUCCAAUCACCUGUAUUUGCAACUUGGCACUUUCUUCAGCCAGGAGAUAGAACGAAGUUCAUUGGUAGAAGAAACGCGUGGCAGGACUUUUACUUUCUGACUCCUGGACUCCUCUGCUCCUGACCAACCCGGGGAUCUGGGAGAGUCGGCUCUGUGGACCUGCUGCACUCUGCCCAACCGUCUCCAGCACCUUUGGAGAUGUUAUUUUGCCUGUUGGGACAAGUGGUCUGAUAAAGAACUGAAUGUGCUAAAUAUUCUCAAAAGAGCAGCAGUUUCUCAGGUCUUUAAAAAUGGGGGUAUUGAAAAAAUAAAAGCGUAAGGAAAAACUUGCGUUGAAGUCUCCUUGAGGGUUUGAGACAGUUGCAAACCAACACACUUUAGUACCAACUUUCAGUUGUUCACCAUGUAUAUGCUAAGAUGGGUAAUUAUGUCCAACGGAUCAGAUAAUGGCUGUGAACCAGAGGUGUAAAAUUUGAAGGAGGGAAGUUUUUUUUUUUUUUUCCUUUUAUUUUUAUUUUUUUUUUCAUGAUUCUUUUUAUCUUUUCCCUCUGUGGUUGGAAGUAAAUGGAACCGUGGAACAAAUCUUAUGGAAACGUUUUUAGCAAUAAACCAGUUUUGUUUUAGAAA
Molecule: RNA transcript, 7594 nt
Organism: Conger conger (European conger)
Lineage: Eukaryota; Metazoa; Chordata; Actinopteri; Anguilliformes; Congridae
Gene: zc3h7bb
Gene name: zinc finger CCCH-type containing 7Bb
Exons: 22
Source: RefSeq, a predicted model, not a curated record